RNAcentral lists this ribosomal RNA (1417 nucleotides) under metagenome. RNAcentral describes it as "SSU rRNA". It matches the Rfam family "Eukaryotic small subunit ribosomal RNA", at positions 391 to 1801 of the family's 1831-position model. The record is from RNAcentral.
GGAGCUUGAGAAUUGGCUACUACAUCUAAGGAAGGCAGCUGGCGCGCAAAUUACCCAAUCCCGAUUCGGGGAGGUAGUGACAAAAAAUAACAAUACCGGGCCUUUUUGGGCUUGGUAAUUGGAAUGAGGGAGAGUUAAACGGACCAUCGAGUAUCCAUUGGAGGGCAAGUCUGGUGCCAGCAGCUGCGGUAAUACCAGCUCCAAUAGCGUAUAUUAAAGUUGUUGCAGUUAAAAAGCUCGUAGUUGGACUUGUGUGCGCUGUCCGCGGGUGGCCUGCGCCCAAAAGGGCGUUUCGGUUCGGCCCCGGUGGCGCCUUGAAAUCUGCAGCUGGGGGGACGUUGGCCUUAACUGGUCGGCGACCGCACGCCGGCUGCUCGGUUACUGUGAGAAAAUUAGAGUGUUCAAGGUAGGCAUUGGGUGCAAUUGAAUACAUUAGCAUGGAAUAAUAAAAUAUGGCUCCUGCCGUAUUUUGUUGGUUUUGACUGGUGGGAGUAAUGAUUGAUAGGGACGGUUGGGGGUGCUAGUAUUGAGCGGCCAGAGGUGAAAUUCAUGGUUUCGCUCAAGACUAACUUAUGCGAAAGCAUUCACCAAGGACGUCCUCUUUAAUCAAGAACGAAAGUUGGGGGAUCGAAGACGAUCAGAUACCGUCGUAGUCUCAACCAUAAACUAUGUCGACUUGGGAUCGGCGGUAGUUUUUUCAUUAAGACACUGUCGGGACCACGGGAGAAAUCAAAGUGUCUGGACUCUGGGGGAAGUAUGGUCGCAAGGCUGAAACUUGAAGGAAUUGACGGAAGGGCACCACCAGGAGUGGAGCCUGCGGCUUAAUUUGACCCAACACGGGGAAACUUACCAGGUCCAGAGAUGUAGAGGAUUGACAGAUUGAAGCUCUUUCUUGAUCACUUCGGUGGUGGUGCAUGGCCGUUCUUAGUUGGUGGAGUGAUUUGUCUGGUUAAUUCCGUUAACGAACGAGACCUCAGCCUGCUAGUGUAGUCGGCUGGAUUGCCUUUGGCGAUCCGUGAUUUCGACUUCUUAGAGGGACAAUCGACGCGCAGUCGAUGGAAGUUUGAGGCAAUAACAGGUCUGUGAUGCCCUUAGAUGUUCUGGGCCGCACGCGCGCUACACUGCUGGGCUCAGCGAGUUUUACUUGGCCGAGAGGCCCGGUUAAUCUUGUGAAAUCCCAGCGUGCUUGGGCUCGCCUCCUGCAACUGGAGGCGCCAACGAGGAAUUCCUAGUAGACGCAGGUCAUCAACCUGCAUCGAUUACGUCCCUGCCCUUUGUACACACCGCCCGUCGUUCCAUAAGAGUGAGGCAUCCGGUGAAUUCUCGGGAGAGCCUGGGCGUGGCCAGCAAUGGUCUGCUCGGGUUUGAACUUGCAUAAACUUGGUGCCUAUGAUUAGGGAAAAGUCGUAACAAGGUU